This 253-nucleotide ribosomal RNA is filed under the name uncultured bacterium. Its description in RNAcentral is "partial 16S ribosomal RNA". It matches the Rfam family "Bacterial small subunit ribosomal RNA", at positions 524 to 776 of the family's 1533-position model. The record is from RNAcentral.
AACGUAGGUUCCGAGCGUUAUCCGGAUUUACUGGGCGUAAAGCGCGUUCAGGCGGUUUGGCAAGUCGGGCAUGAAAUCUCUCGGCUCAACCGGGAGAGGUUGUCCGAUACUUCCAGACUUGAGGGCAGUAGAGGGUGGUGGAAUUCCGGGUGUAGUGGUGAAAUGCGUAGAUAUCCGGAGGAACACCAGUGGCGAAAGCGGCCACCUGAACUGCACCUGACGCUGACACGCGAAAGCUAGGGGAGCGAACGGG